RNAcentral lists this long non-coding RNA (723 nucleotides) under Equus caballus (horse). RNAcentral's name for it is "lncRNA (ENSECAG00000039858.3)". The record is from RNAcentral. Lineage: Eukaryota; Metazoa; Chordata; Mammalia; Perissodactyla; Equidae.
CUGGAGUUUCUUAAAUCUGUCUUCCCUCCAGACUGAAAACCUGCUUCCUCUGUAUCUCACGUUACAAUCCUAACUCAUAUGCAAAUCUCUCCAACUGGCAUGAUUUCACCAAGGGCAGUUUGGAAUUGCAGUGACAGAGGAAGUUUGGAUGUGAACACAGUUGUUCAUCUGAGAGGCUCCAUAGAACGAGCAUUUAAAAACUGUUUUUCUCCCCACAAUAGCUCCGUAAAAGAGUUGAUGGCAAAUGCUCUUUUUCCUGAAGUCUAUUUCAGAGGUUCCUGCUGGCCGCAUUCCCAUGGGGUUUCUGGCCUGGGGCUAGAAUUGAUUAUCAGACAUGAAAGGGGCUGGCCCCGUGGCCGAGUGGUUAAGUUCACGCGCUCCGCUGCAGGCAGCCCAGUGUUUCGUUGGUUCAAAUCCUGGGCGCAGACAUGGCACUGCUCAUCAAACCACGCUGAGGCAGCGUCCCACAUGCCACAACUGGAAGGACCCACAGCGAAGAAUAUACAACUAUGUACUGGGGGGCUUUGGGGAGAAAAAGGAAAAAAUAAAAUCUUUAAAAAAAAAUAGACAUGAAAAUUUAUUUUAUAUUUUUAUACAUUGGUCUUCUAUUUUUAUUUUAUGUCCAUUAGUCGUAAGAAACAUGAGCUAGUGAAAUAUAGUAGAAACUUAAAUGUUUGUUGAUUGAAUAAAUGAACCAGAAUUUUAAUAAAUAUUUGUUGGCAG